Molecule: long non-coding RNA, 955 nt
Organism: Bos taurus (domestic cattle)
Lineage: Eukaryota; Metazoa; Chordata; Mammalia; Artiodactyla; Bovidae
Source: Ensembl
UAGCCAACCCCCUAGUUACGCAGGUAGCCCUUCUUUAAACAUAAAAUGAGAGUUGAAAUCCUUCACUAACCAUCCUGUUAUGUGCUGUGCUGUGCUGUUCUUAGUUGCUCAGUCAUGUUCGACUCUUUGCAGUUCCAUGGACUGUAGCCCACCAGGCUCCUCUGUCCAUGGGAAUUCUCUAGGAAAGAAUACUGGAGUGGGUUGCCAUGCCCUCCUCCAAGGGAUCUUCCCAACCCAAGAGAUCGAACCCAGGUUUUCUGCAUUGCAGGUGAAUUCUUUACCAUCUGAGCAACCAGCGAAGCCCAACCAUCAUAUUAAAGCACCAAUUGAAAUGGAAUAUACCUUGAAAAAUCAGAGUUCUGGAGAAUCAGAGAAGGGAGAGAUCACAAACAGCUCCAUGGAAUCCAUGAGCACUGAAGAGAGGUAGGUCAGGCAGCAUCUGGAGGAGGGCACUCUGGAAACAACACUGUGGGCACUGGUACAGACACGAAAAGAAAAACAAAUGUUCAGGGGACAGAUUGCUUGAAACACAAGGUUUGGGUAUGCCAAGAUGACCGAAAAGAGGUGCUAUCUUGGGUUGCUGUUAAUAAUAAGGCAUUUGUGUGUUUCUCCAUAACUAAAAAGGGCUUCCGUGGUGGCUCAGACAGUAAAGAAUCUGCCUGCAAUGCAGGAGACCCGGGUUCCAUCCCUGGGUCAAGAAGAUCUCCUGGAGAAGGGAAUGGCAACCCACUCUCGUAUUCUUGCUUGGAGAAUUCCAUGGACAGAGCAGCCUGGCGGGCUACAAUCCAUGGGUUUGCAAAGAGUCAGAUACGACUGAGCGACUAACACACACACCAUAACUAAAAGAGCAGUGUUGUAUUAGUUACCUAUUCCUGUUGUAUUGUUACCUAUACCAAAAAAUUACUUAUUGGUUUAAAACAACCCAAAUUUAUUAUUGUACAACUCUCUAGAGCAG